CAGUAGCCGCGGUAAUACGUAGGGUGCGAGCGUUAAUCGGAAUUACUGGGCGUAAAGCCUGCGCAGGCGGUUAUAUAAGACAGAUGUGAAAUCCCCGGGCUCAACCUGGGACCUGCAUUAGUGACUGUAUAGCUAGAGUACGGUAGAGGGGGAUGGAAUUCCGCGUGUAGCAGUGAAAUGCGUAGAUAUGCGGAGGAACACCGAUGGCGAAGGCAAUCCCCUGGACCUGUACUGACGCUCAUGCACGAAAGCGUGGGGAGCAAACAGGAUUAGAUACCCCCGUAGUCCCUGUCUCUUAUAC
Molecule: ribosomal RNA, 301 nt
Filed under: uncultured bacterium
Lineage: Bacteria
Description: partial 16S ribosomal RNA
Rfam family: Bacterial small subunit ribosomal RNA
Source: RNAcentral